CUUUUACGUCGGCCUUCGCGAGCGUUUGGUCGGGUGGUAGGAACAAUGGCGCUGUCUUCAGUGGCACAGUGGAGCAGCUCUGAAGAUGCAAAGAUACACGAAAAAACUUCCAGAACAUCUGGGAGAAUAUUUAAUGGAAAAUCGCUUGGUUAAAACCUGACACUCUUAACAGGUAUGUGUUGUUUUAGUACUUUAUGAUUGAGCAUACCAUUUAAUCCACACCUAAACUAAAUCAAAUUUUUUUUGUCAGUGAACAGCGUUCUGAGUGUGGACGAGUAGCCAGUGAAGAUAAUGAAUGUCGAACGUGACUGACUAGCAGCUUCAUUUUGAAUGAGGGUCGCUGUCUGCCCAUUGAUAGAGGCCAGAUUGUCUUGGAAGUUCCAAAGUUGCAACGAUUUCUGGCUAGUGCCACGAGGUUUACUUGACUGUUGUGUGAAAAGCUGAUAAGAAAACCAUCCAGAAAAAAGCUCUUCGUUUUACAAACAUGAAAAUAAAACAUGUAAUUUUG
RNAcentral lists this long non-coding RNA (508 nucleotides) under Pan troglodytes (chimpanzee). RNAcentral's name for it is "lincRNA". The record is from RNAcentral. Lineage: Eukaryota; Metazoa; Chordata; Mammalia; Primates; Hominidae.